AGCGAACGCUGGCGGCAUGCCUAACACAUGCAAGUCGAGCGCUCCCAGCAAUGGGGGAGCGGCGGACGGGUGAGUAACGCGUAGGAACGUAUCCUGAGGUGGGGGAUAACCCUGGGAAACUAGGGCUAAUACCGCAUGAUGGCGAGAGCCCAAAGAUUUAUCGCCUUGGGAGCGGCCUGCGUCUGAUUAGCUUGUUGGUGGGGUAACGGCCUACCAAGGCGAUGAUCAGUAGCUGGUCUGAGAGGAUGAUCAGCCACACUGGGACUGAGACACGGCCCAGACUCCUACGGGAGGCAGCAGUGGGGAAUAUUGGACAAUGGGCGAAAGCCUGAUCCAGCAAUGCCGCGUGGAUGAAGAAGGUCUUCGGAUUGUAAAGUCCUUUUCGGCGGGGACGAUGAUGACGGUACCCGCAGAAGAAGCCCCGGCUAACUUCGUGCCAGCAGCCGCGGUAAGUGCGACGACA
This 463-nucleotide ribosomal RNA is filed under the name uncultured bacterium. RNAcentral describes it as "bacterial SSU rRNA". It matches the Rfam family "Bacterial small subunit ribosomal RNA", at positions 29 to 533 of the family's 1533-position model. The record is from RNAcentral.